Molecule: ribosomal RNA, 388 nt
Filed under: uncultured bacterium
Lineage: Bacteria
Description: bacterial SSU rRNA
Rfam family: Bacterial small subunit ribosomal RNA
Source: RNAcentral
AUUGAACGCUGGCGGCAUGCCUUACACAUGCAAGUCGAACGGUAACGCGGGGCAACCUGGCGACGAGUGGCGAACGGGUGAGUAAUACAUCGGAACGUGCCCAGUAGUGGGGGAUAGCCCGGCGAAAGCCGGAUUAAUACCGCAUACGACCUACGGGUGAAAGCAGGGGAUCGCAAGACCUUGCGCCAUUGGAGCGGCCGAUGUCAGAUUAGGUUGUUGGUGGGGUAAAGGCCUACCAAGCCGACGAUCUGUAGCUGGUCUGAGAGGACGACCAGCCACACUGGGACUGAGACACGGCCCAGACUCCUACGGGAGGCAGCAUGGGGAAUUUUGGACAAUGGGCGCAAGCCUGAUCCAGCCAUGCCGCGUGCGGGAAGAAGGCCUUCGG